GGAAGUAAAAGUCUAACAAGGUCUCCGUAGGUGAACCUGCGGAGGGAUCAUUACAGAGUUCAUGCCCUACCGGGUAGAUCUCCCACCCUAUGUUAUUAUUACUUUGUUGCUUUGGCGGGCCGUUAGGCUCCGGCCCGACUACCGGCCCCGGCUGGUAAGCGCCCGCCAGAGGACCCAAAACCCUGAGUAUUAGUGUCGUCUGAGUACUAUAUAAUAGUUAAAACUUUCAACAACGGAUCUCUUGGUUCUG
RNAcentral lists this unclassified non-coding RNA (250 nucleotides) under plant metagenome. RNAcentral describes it as "partial contains small subunit ribosomal RNA, internal transcribed spacer 1, and 5.8S ribosomal RNA". The stretch from base 1 to 53 matches the Rfam family "Eukaryotic small subunit ribosomal RNA", at positions 1778 to 1831 of the family's 1831-position model. The record is from RNAcentral.